RNAcentral lists this ribosomal RNA (406 nucleotides) under uncultured bacterium. RNAcentral describes it as "partial 16S ribosomal RNA". It matches the Rfam family "Bacterial small subunit ribosomal RNA", at positions 30 to 526 of the family's 1533-position model. The record is from RNAcentral.
AUUGAACGCUGGCGGCAGGCCUAACACAUGCAAGUCGAGCGGAGCGGCGGACGGGUGCGUAAUGCCUAGGAAUCUGCCUGGUAGUGGGGGAUAACGUCCGGAAACGGGCGCUAAUACCGCAUACUAUCAGAUGAGCCUAGGUCGGAUUAGCUAGUUGGUGGGGUAAAGGCCUACAAAGGCGACGAUCCGUAACUGGUCUGAGAGGAUGAUCAGUCACACGGGAACUGGGAAACGGUCCAGACCCUUACGGGAGGCAGCGGUGGGGAUGAUUGGACAAGGGGCGAAAGCCGGAUCCAGCCAUGCCGGGUGUGGGAAGAAGGUUUUGGGAUUGUAAAGCACUUUAAGUUGGGAGGCGUUACCGACAGAAUAAGCACCGGCUAACUUCGUGCCAGCCCCGCGGUAAUUC